CUUGUAACAUACAAGAUGAGAGAUGAGAAUUUUGCCCUGACGACUUUACUUUUAUUGUUUUUAGCAAUCUAAGGGUCCAUCGGUUGACCACUUCGAAAUAUUCAACCUAACAGAGUUUAAUAAUAAAACCUUGAUAACUGAGCUAAAUGAGCACCCUUCAAUCGGAUGGAUAGAAAACACAGAAGGAAUCCGUUCUCCGGAUCAGCUUUAGUUGAGGUUUCCGGAGGUACCCGAAACUUCUAUUUAGAUAGUAUUUUGGUCCUUUAAUUAAUUCUGAUACUACAGGAUCUGUUUAAGUAUUCGAUCCCACCUGGACUGAAAUAGGACCCAAUGAGAUCUGGGGUAAACUUUUCUCAUUAGCACUGAGGGUUUUUAAUUUGUAACUGCCAAGCUGUGAGGCUGUGACCUUUGAGAGGUGUAUUUUUUCCAUAAAUAAAGACGCAAAACUCUA
Drosophila serrata is the source of this 451-nucleotide long non-coding RNA. RefSeq lists it as uncharacterized. The record is from RefSeq and is a predicted model, not a curated record. Lineage: Eukaryota; Metazoa; Arthropoda; Insecta; Diptera; Drosophilidae.